GGCUCCUGGUUUCUCUUCCUCUUUUACCUAAGUCUUUCGCCUUUUACUACAGACUUCCGUGGAAAGGAACAAACAUACAAGUUGAAUAUAUUUUAGCAGGCUUUUGCUGUAUGGCUG
This is a small nuclear RNA of Hippoglossus stenolepis (Pacific halibut), 117 nucleotides long. RefSeq annotates it as U5 spliceosomal RNA. NCBI's taxonomy places the organism in Eukaryota, Metazoa, Chordata, Actinopteri, Pleuronectiformes, Pleuronectidae. The transcript has a single exon. The record is from RefSeq and is a predicted model, not a curated record.